Molecule: ribosomal RNA, 253 nt
Filed under: uncultured bacterium
Lineage: Bacteria
Description: partial 16S ribosomal RNA
Rfam family: Bacterial small subunit ribosomal RNA
Source: RNAcentral
UACGAAGGGGGCUAGCGUUGUUCGGAAUUACUGGGCGUAAAGCGCUCGCAGGCGGUUUUCCAAGUCAGUGGUGAAAGCCCGGAGCUCAACUCCGGAACUGCCAUUGAAACUGGCGAACUUGAGUACGAGAGAGGUGAGUGGAAUUCCCAGUGUAGAGGUGAAAUUCGUAGAUAUUGGGAAGAACACCGGUGGCGAAGGCGGCUCACUGGCUCGUAACUGACGCUCAGGCGCGACAGCGUGGGGAUCAAACAGG